This 2856-nucleotide ribosomal RNA is filed under the name Staphylococcus haemolyticus. RNAcentral's name for it is "bacterial LSU rRNA". The stretch from base 1228 to 2856 matches the Rfam family "Bacterial large subunit ribosomal RNA". Lineage: Bacteria; Bacillati; Bacillota; Bacilli; Caryophanales; Staphylococcaceae. The record is from RNAcentral.
UGUAACCCCAGAUGGUUAUUAUUUUACUGACGAUUUCACGCAAGGUGUCGGUAAAUUAAAAGAGGGGAUGAUUUCAUUUCACCCCCCUCAAAUCGAUAAAUCAAAAUUGCUUAAAUUAAAUUAGUGUCUAUGUUUAUCCUUUUUUAAAGGAACUGGAUCAAAUCCACCUUUAUGAAGAGGAUGACAUUUAAGAAUGCGACGAAUUCCCAUAUAGCCACCUUUGAAUGGGCCAUAAACUUCAAUCGCUUCUCGCGUAUAUUCUGAGCACGUAGGAUAAAAUCUGCAUGUAGGUGGCGUCAUAGGUGAAAUAUAGCGUUGAUAGAUAUGGAUUAUUCCAAGAAAUAAUUUUUUUAACAUUAUAGGCCUCCAACCAGUAAUACGAUUAUAAAUUAGUUUAACAUAUUGAAGGGAGUAGUAUGGAACAUGGAGUUUCUAGAUAAAGAUAAUAGACGUGUCACAAUGAGUUACAAAACGAACAACGACUGUCCUGAUGGUAAUCAUGUUUUAGCUAUUCCACUAUAUAAGAACCAGUUACUUUUUACUCAGCACAAAAUGCGUGGCAUUGAGUUUCCAGGUGGUAAGGUUGAAGAAGGAGAACAAAGUAUACAAGCAAUCAAGAGAGAACUUUUUGAAGAAACAGGAGGCAUACCUGAAACGAUAGAUUAUAUUGCUCAGUAUCAGGUUCAUACAUUCGAUAACUCAAUUUUCAAAAAAGAUGUAUAUAUCGUGAAGGUUAAAUCAUUUGAAGAGAAAAGUGAUUAUUUAGAAACGAGAGGGCCAUUAUUAUUUGAUAAUAUUAAUUCUAUUCCAUUAGAUAAACAAAGUUAUUUAAUACAAGAUAAUGCAAUUCUUAAAUGUGUCGAGAGGAUGAUAGAACUUGGAUAUUAUCGCGACUAAGAAAAUGCCUAUAGCAUCAAGAACGCAUCAAUUCGAUGAAAUUACCUAUAAAGUUGAGGGUUUAAAAGUAAAAGCAUUACAGAUGUGCCCUUUAAAGAAGACAGUAAAAAGAAUCGUAGUAUAUUUGCGAGGAGGUAAGGGACAAGUCGGACGUGUACGUGCAGCAAGACUAAUGCAGUUUGCAAAUGAAAAUACCUUAGUUGUAGGUCCUUACUAUAGAGGAAGUAAUGGAAGUGAAGGUAGAGAUGAGUUUGCUAACGCUGAUUUAAAAGAUGUUACCUAUCUCAUAAAGAUACUUAAACAACGAUUUCCUAAUGCAUAUAUACACAUGAUUGGUUUCUCAAGAGGUGGAAUACAAGGACUACUUACAUAUCAAGAUUACCCAGUCGAUAGUUACAUCAUCUGGGGUGGUGUAUCAAGUAUGCACUUGAUGUAUGAAGAACGUACUGAUUUAAGAGGGAUGUUGCGUCGAAUGGUAGGACAUCCUUCCAAAAAUAAAGAAUCUUAUGACCAAAGAGAUGCGAUAAAACUUAUUGAUUCUAAUAGUUCANAAGCAGUGAGAUUGAGUGUUAGGCAAAUCCGGCACUCUUAAGAUUGAGCUGUGAUGGGGAGAGGAAAUUGUUUCCUCGAGUCGUUGAUUUCACACUGCCGAGAAAAGCCUCUAGAUAGAUAAUAGGUGCCCGUACCGCAAACCGACACAGGUAGUCAAGAUGAGAAUUCUAAGGUGAGCGAGCGAACUCUCGUUAAGGAACUCGGCAAAAUGACCCCGUAACUUCGGGAGAAGGGGUGCUCUUUAGGGUGCAAGCCCAGAAGAGCCGCAGUGAAUAGGCCCAAGCGACUGUUUAUCAAAAACACAGGUCUCUGCUAAACCGUAAGGUGAUGUAUAGGGGCUGACGCCUGCCCGGUGCUGGAAGGUUAAGAGGAGUGGUUAGCUUCUGCGAAGCUACGAAUCGAAGCCCCAGUAAACGGCGGCCGUAACUAUAACGGUCCUAAGGUAGCGAAAUUCCUUGUCGGGUAAGUUCCGACCCGCACGAAAGGCGUAACGAUUUGGGCACUGUCUCAACGAGAGACUCGGUGAAAUCAUAGUACCUGUGAAGAUGCAGGUUACCCGCGACAGGACGGAAAGACCCCGUGGAGCUUUACUGUAGCCUGAUAUUGAAAUUCGGCACAGCUUGUACAGGAUAGGUAGGAGCCUUUGAAACGUGAGCGCUAGCUUACGUGGAGGCGCUGGUGGGAUACUACCCUAGCUGUGUUGGCUUUCUAACCCGCACCACUUAUCGUGGUGGGAGACAGUGUCAGGCGGGCAGUUUGACUGGGGCGGUCGCCUCCUAAAAGGUAACGGAGGCGCUCAAAGGUUCCCUCAGAAUGGUUGGAAAUCAUUCAUAGAGUGUAAAGGCAUAAGGGAGCUUGACUGCGAGACCUACAAGUCGAGCAGGGUCGAAAGACGGACUUAGUGAUCCGGUGGUUCCGCAUGGAAGGGCCAUCGCUCAACGGAUAAAAGCUACCCCGGGGAUAACAGGCUUAUCUCCCCCAAGAGUUCACAUCGACGGGGAGGUUUGGCACCUCGAUGUCGGCUCAUCGCAUCCUGGGGCUGUAGUCGGUCCCAAGGGUUGGGCUGUUCGCCCAUUAAAGCGGUACGCGAGCUGGGUUCAGAACGUCGUGAGACAGUUCGGUCCCUAUCCGUCGUGGGCGUAGGAAAUUUGAGAGGAGCUGUCCUUAGUACGAGAGGACCGGGAUGGACAUACCUCUGGUGUACCAGUUGUCGUGCCAACGGCAUAGCUGGGUAGCUAUGUAUGGACGGGAUAAGUGCUGAAAGCAUCUAAGCAUGAAGCCCCCCUCAAGAUGAGAUUUCCCAACUUCGGUUAUAAGAUCCCUCAAAGAUGAUGAGGUUAAUAGGUUCGAGGUGGAAGCGUGGUGACACGUGGAGCUGACGAAUACUAAUCGAUCGAAGACUUAAUC